Molecule: ribosomal RNA, 462 nt
Filed under: uncultured bacterium
Lineage: Bacteria
Description: partial 16S ribosomal RNA
Rfam family: Bacterial small subunit ribosomal RNA
Source: RNAcentral
GACGAACGCUGGCGGCGUGCUUAACACAUGCAAGUCGAGCGGAAACGCCCUUCGGGGUACUCGAGCGGCGAACGGGUGAGUAACACGUGAUUAACCUGUCCCAGACCUUGGCAUAACCCGCUGAAACGGGGGCUAAUUCUGGUUACGACACAGCUUUGCAUGGGUUCUGUGUGGACAGUUUUUCGGUUCUGGUUGGGCUUGUGACCUAUCGGCUUGUUGGUGGGGUGGUGGUCUACCAAGACGACGAGGGGUAGCCGUCCUGAGAGGGCGACAGGCCACACGGCGCCUGAGACACGACCCAGACUCGAACGGGAGGGGGGGGUGUAGUGUCGAGCAUGAUGGGCGGAAGCAUAAUGCGGCGACGCCGCGUGAGGGAAGUGGUCAUUCGGGUAGUAAUGUUCUGUCAGCAGGGACGAGACGUAAGUGACGGUACCUGCAGAAGAAGCGCCGGCCAACUACGUG